GAUAAGCGUUUCCGGGGUAAGAAAGGGCAUUUGCGAGAGGACGAAGAGAGGAGAGAUCUACGGAAGAGAGUCCCCUCACCAGAAGCGGGUUCUUCUUUCACUUGAAGAGGGAGCCUAUUUUGCUGGAAGAGCCAAAACAGUGAGGAAAUUUGAUUCGGGUCCUUCAUCUCUGAGGAAGGCACAAUUCCUCCAUUCACCAAGAUGAAUGGAUUCUGUCUACGCAGCUCGCAGCUGGAGUGACUCUUGAGGGGGAAAAAAAAAAUCAAAAUGCAAUAUCUGAUAGCCAAUCAGAACACUACCUAGAUGGCCUGUUAUUAUUUUUAAAUUAAAAAGCAUGAUUUCUGCUAGUCAGAACAUCAGGUUUGAAUAACUCACAGUAGAAAAUCUCAAGCAGCUCUACCUCUAGACAGUUACUGCCUAGGGAGAAAGGGGCAGUACUGAGUCUUUUGAAUCUGGCUGUUUGAUUUUUAAAAUGGAAAAACAAAAUCUACCCAAAUAUAUAUCCGUUUGCAUAGGAUCAGGCUCCCAAAAAAAUCAGAAUGAAAUCAGCCUCAUUUUCCUCAUCUCCUUCUUUAAUCUAGAGAUAGGUUUUAUAAAUUUUCUGAACCAAAGAAAAGAAAACAUUUUUAA
Molecule: long non-coding RNA, 630 nt
Organism: Onychomys torridus (southern grasshopper mouse)
Lineage: Eukaryota; Metazoa; Chordata; Mammalia; Rodentia; Cricetidae
Exons: 3
Source: RefSeq, a predicted model, not a curated record